Molecule: long non-coding RNA, 359 nt
Organism: Nerophis ophidion (straightnose pipefish)
Lineage: Eukaryota; Metazoa; Chordata; Actinopteri; Syngnathiformes; Syngnathidae
Exons: 3
Source: RefSeq, a predicted model, not a curated record
UCCUUAUUUGAGGACGUAUUUGAGAUUUUUCGGACCAUUUCGGUGUUGCUGGGUUCUGCAACAACACAGAAAAUUGUCUUCAAGCACUCAACAGGCACCCUCUACCAGAGCAGUCACACACCUGAGGACCUCGGCAAGAUAAUUCUGGGCUCAGUGGAAGACGGCGAUUUCAUCGUGAUGCCCCCAUACUCUGUUCUUCAAAGUCAUAUUGGACAGUACCAAAGACUCAUUGCUCAGAUGGCUACGUUCUCAAGAAAUCCCCAUCCAUCCGAUGAUGACAUCUCCGGAACAGUUUGCAGCCUUUUCUUGAAUGAUGGCGUGUCUGAUGUUGAGUUGGCCAAUCUCACAGAGAUGAUAGA